This 240-nucleotide unclassified non-coding RNA is filed under the name soil metagenome. Its description in RNAcentral is "partial contains 5.8S ribosomal RNA, internal transcribed spacer 2, and large subunit ribosomal RNA". The record is from RNAcentral.
AACAUCGCGCACCUGCGGGAACCUGCGGAAGGAUCAUUACAGAGUUGCAAAACCCCCUAAACCAUUGUGAACGUUACCUAAACCGUUGCUUCGGCGGGCGGCCCGGGUCCUUCCCGGCGCCCCUCGGCCCUCGCGGGCGCCCGCCGGAGGUAAACCAAACUAUUGCAUUGUAUGGCCUCUCUGAGUCUUCUGUACUGAAUAAGUCAAAACUUUCAACAACGGAUCUCAGAUCGGAAGAGC